Molecule: long non-coding RNA, 1892 nt
Filed under: Homo sapiens (human)
Lineage: Eukaryota; Metazoa; Chordata; Mammalia; Primates; Hominidae
Description: non-protein coding lnc-JMJD1C-11:2
Source: RNAcentral
AUGAACUCUGGAGCCGUGAGGAUCCACAGUAAAGGACAUUUCCAGGGUGGAAUCCAAGUCAAAAAUGAAAAAAACAGACCAUCUUUGAAAUCUCUGAAAACUGAUAACAGGCCAGAAAAAUCCAAAUAUAAGCCACUUUGGGGAAAAGUAUUUUACCUUGACUUACCUUCUGUCACCAUAUCUGAAAAACUGCAAAAGGACAUUAAGGAUCUGGGAGGGCGAGUUGAAGAAUUUCUCAGCAAAGAUAUCAGUUAUCUUAUUUCAAAUAAAAAGGAAGCUAAAUUUGCACAAACCUUGGGUCGAAUUUCUCCUGUACCAAGUCCAGAAUCUGCAAAUACUGCAGAAACCACUUCACCUCAUCCCAGCCAUGAUGGAAGUUCAUUUAAGUCACCAGACACAGUGUGUUUAAGCAGAGGAAAAUUAUUAGUUGAAAAAGCUAUCAAGGACCAUGAUUUUAUUCCUUCAUAUAGUAUAUUAUCAAAUGCCUUGUCAUGGGGAGUAAAAAUUCUUCAUAUUGAUGACAUUAGAUACUACAUUGAACAAAAGAAAAAAGUUGCAUUCACUCAAGAAAUCAAGUACUUCAGUAAGAGAUGGGGGCAAAAGAGUUGGUAGUGGUGCACAAAAAACAAGAACAGGAAGACUCAAAAAGCCUUUUGUAAAGGUGGAAGAUAUGAGCCAACUUUAUAGGCCAUUUUAUCUUCAGCUGACCAAUAUGCCUUUUAUAAAUUAUUCUAUUCAGAAGCCCUGCAGUCCAUUUGAUGUAGACAAGCCAUCUAGUAUGCAAAAGCAAACUCAGGUUAAACUAAGAAUCCAAACAGAUGGCGAUAAGUAUGGUGGAAACUCAAUUCAACUCCAGUUGAAAGAGAAGAAGAAAAAAGGAUAUUGUGAAUGUUGCUUGCAGAAAUAUGAAGAUCUAGAAACUAAUAAAAUACAGUGUUGGAUCCCUUUCUCCUGUUUCUGCAAGUGUCCUGAAAAAGACUGAACGAAAGGAAAAAGUGGAAUUGCAACAUAUUUCUCAGAAAGAUUGCCGGGAAGAUGAUAUAACGGUGAUAGAGCAGAAUUUCCUGUAUAAAGAGACCCAGGAAACUGAAAAAAACUUCUGUUUAUUUCAGAGCCCAUCCCCCACCCUUCAAAUGACUUGAGAGGGCUUAACAAGAAAAUGAGUAAUAAAUGUUCCAUGUUAAGUACAGCUGAAGAUGACAUAAGACAGAAUUUUACACAGCUACCUCUACAUAAAAACAAACAGGAAUGCAUUCUUGACAUUUCCGAACACACAUUAAGUGAAAAUGACUUACAAGAACUAAGGAUAGAUAACUAUAAAUGUAACAUACAGGCAUCUGUUCAUGUUUCUGAUUUCUGUACAGAUAAUAGUGCAUCUCAACCAAAACAAAAGUCAGAUCCUGUGCUUUUUCCAGCAAAGGAUCUCAAGGAAAAGGACCUUCAUUCAAUAUUUACUCAUGAUUCUGGUCUGAUAACAAUAAACAGUUCACAAGAGCACCUAACUGUUCAGGCAAAGGCUCCAUCACAUACUCCUCCUGAGGAACCCAAUGAAUGUGACAUCAAGAAUAUGGAUAGUUUACCUUCUGGUAAAAUACAUCGAAAAGUGAAAAUAUUAUUAGGACAAAAUAGAAAAGAAAAUCUGGAACCAAAUGCUGAAUUUGAUAAAAGAACUGAAUUUAUUACACAAGAAGAAAACAGAAUUUGUAGAUCACCGGUACAGUCUUUACCAGACUUGUUUCAGACUAGUGAAGAGAAAUCAGAAUUUUUGGGUUUCACAAGCUAUACAGAAAAGAGUGGUAUAUGCAAUGUUUUAGAUAUUUGGGAAGAGGAAAAUUCAGAUAAUCUGUUAACAGUGUUUUUCUCGUCCCCUUCAACUUCUACAUUUACUGGCU